AUGAACGCUGGCGGCGUGCCUAAUACAUGCAAGUCGAGCGAACGGACGAGAAGCUUGCUUCUCUGAUGUUAGCGGCGGACGGGUGAGUAACACGUGGAUAACCUACCUAUAAGACUGGGAUAACUUCGGGAAACCGGAGCUAAUACCGGAUAAUAUUUUGAACCGCAUGGUUCAAAAGUAAAAGACGGUCUUGCUGUCACUUAUAGAUGGAUCCGCGCUGCAUUAGCUAGUUGGUAAGGUAACGGCUUACCAAGGCAACGAUGCAUAGCCGACCUGAGAGGGUGAUCGGCCACACUGGAACUGAGACACGGUCCAGACUACUACGGGAGGCAGCAGUAGGGAAUCUUCCGCAAUGGGCGAAAGCCUGACGGAGCAACGCCGCGUGAGUGAUGAAGGUAUUCGGAUCGUAAAACUCUGUUAUUAGGGAAGAACAUAUGUGUAAGUAACUGUGCACAUCUUGACGGUACCUAAUCAGAAAGCCACGGCUAACUACGUG
This 496-nucleotide ribosomal RNA is filed under the name uncultured bacterium. RNAcentral's name for it is "partial 16S ribosomal RNA". It matches the Rfam family "Bacterial small subunit ribosomal RNA", at positions 29 to 507 of the family's 1533-position model. The record is from RNAcentral.